CAUCUUAUGGAGUCAUGUAAAAUUUGGAAGAUCUUCUAAUUGACAAUCAUAUUGUUUUAGAAGUAUAUAUCCUAUAUAUGGGUAAUAGAUAACAUCUAACGAACUAAAUCUUAUUCGAGUUCGUUUUUCUCCUUAAUGGAGAAGAUUUAUUAUCUUAUGAUGCUUAUUUCCUUGAUAUCUUUCAAGGAAACUGUUCUAAAGUGUUACAUUAUCUUGGAUCAAAUCUAAGGAGGUAAAUACUUUAGACGUCUUACUCAUCAACUUACAUUACUUGAAUUCUUCGAAACAUUUUGCAAAGUAUUCGGAUUUGUGUUUAUUCAAAAUAAACUAUAGUCCAACCGAGAGUGAUCUUCGGUGAAUGUCAUCCAACAUGAGUAGUAUUAUGUUGUGGACAAGUGCCACUAACAUCUAAGUGAAUUAACCUCAACAACUUUGUGAUUCUUUCUUCUUUCCAAAAGAAUAAAGAUUCGAACAUUUCGCCUCUAUACAAUUUUAACAAGAAGGUAUUGGAUCCGGAUCUAACGAUCCAAAGCAUCCAUCAAUGACCAACUUGUAAUUUAUGUUUUAGAGGUAUCACAACUCAGUUGGGAUUAGUCACUACCUUGCAACCUUUUUUGGGUUUUAAGCAUCAUUUUAUUCUAAACAGUUAACACCACCAUAUUAUCUCUACUAUAGAGACAAUCAAUUAGAUUACCAUGAUCCAAUCAUUGAUUAAUAAAGAACAACGUUUUGUCAAACAAAACAUUCAUCCAUCUCUACUAUAGUGACGGAAUUAAAUUCCUUAAAAUUGGAAUGUAAAGACAAUCUUUGGUUUUUCCAAUUUCUUUGGUAGUUCUUAUGAGGAAGUAAGUACUAUAUGCUUUCGCAGAGAUCCAUAUUUUAUCCACGUUCUGAAUGUGAAGCACCUUUUCUUCUCUCAUAUAUCUUUUACUUCUUAUUAGUCACACUUUUACAAUGAUUUGUAAACCAUAGUUACUAAUACGGAAUCAAGCAUUCAAGUAGAAGAACCAACUGUUUUGAACUAUUCAAGAACAAUGUCCAUCCUUGCAUGCACUCAAAAACAAAACAUUAACCAUGAAAUUCAAAGGCGGAAUCAUGCUUGCAUGCACUCAAAAACAAAACAUUAACCAUGAAAUUCAAAGCCUAGUAGAUUGGUGAACCAAGACUCAACUCAAAUCAAAGUGAGUUGAGAAAUAUAUACCUUUGUAGAUUCCUCUUUGCAUAAGCAAAUGCUAAUCACCCAAAGAGAGGGCCUUCAAUCCUUGCAUCUAAAAUCUAUGGAUUUGGAUGGAUGAAAAGGUUCUCCAAGUUCCCAAAAUUGAGAACCUCUAAGUCUCUACACCAAGGUAAGAUUGAUGAAGAAAUGAGUGACCUUGGAGGAGUGGGAUUGCUAGCUAAUCCCUCCAAGAGGGCCGGCCUCUUUAGAGAGAAAGGAGAGCUUUGUGUUCUCUCCAAUUUCCUAAAAGAAACCCUUUUUGAAUUUAGGCUAUAAAGUUCUUUAUAUAGUCACUUCUUUAAGUGACCUAAAGAACCAAAAACCCUAAUUCAACAUACAUGGCCGGGCAUAUAAGGGAUAUGGGCUUUUGGGCCUUUGUGAAUCUUUAUUCAUUAAAUUGUCAUACAACUUAAGUCAAUGGGCUUGAUGUUCGAAGCCCAUUGGGCCUUAAGUUCCAAAACUAUCCCGAGGUCUUUAACGAACUUAUUCGUUUGAUUAAUUAACAUAUUAAUUAAUCCUUG
Molecule: long non-coding RNA, 1737 nt
Filed under: Malus domestica (apple)
Lineage: Eukaryota; Viridiplantae; Streptophyta; Magnoliopsida; Rosales; Rosaceae
Description: long non-coding RNA (MDOM_LNC005600)
Source: RNAcentral